CCUACGGGUUGCAGCAGUGGGGAAUAUUGGACAAUGGGCGAAAGCCUGAUCCAGCAAUGCCGCGUGUGUGAAGAAGGUCUUCGGAUUGUAAAGCACUUUCGACGGGGACGAUGAUAACGGUACCCGUAGAAGAAGCCCCGGCUAACUUCGUGCCAGCAGCCGCGGUAAUACGAAGGGGGCUAGCGUUGCUCGGAAUGACUGGGCGUAAAGGGCGCGUAGGCGGUUUAUGCAGUCAGAUGUGAAAUCCCCGGGCUUAACCUGGGAACUGCAUUUGAGACGCAUAGACUAGAGGUCGAGAGAGGGUUGUGGAAUUCCGAGUGUAGAGGUGAAAUUCGUAGAUAUUCGGAGGAACACCAGUGGCGAAGGCGGCUUACUGGUCUGCAACUGACGCUGAGGCGCGAAAGCGUGGGGAGCAAACAGGAUUAGAUACCCGGGUAGUC
This 440-nucleotide ribosomal RNA is filed under the name uncultured bacterium. RNAcentral describes it as "bacterial SSU rRNA". It matches the Rfam family "Bacterial small subunit ribosomal RNA", at positions 338 to 795 of the family's 1533-position model. The record is from RNAcentral.